RNAcentral lists this ribosomal RNA (253 nucleotides) under uncultured bacterium. RNAcentral describes it as "partial 16S ribosomal RNA". It matches the Rfam family "Bacterial small subunit ribosomal RNA", at positions 524 to 776 of the family's 1533-position model. The record is from RNAcentral.
UACGUAGGUGGCAAGCGUUGUCCGGAUUUAUUGGGUUUAAAGGGUGCGUAGGCGGCUUUGUAAGUCAGUGGUGAAAUAUGGCAGCUCAACUGUCAAGGUGCCAUUGAUACUGCGAGGCUUGAGUACAGAUGAGGUAGGCGGAAUUGACGGUGUAGCGGUGAAAUGCUUAGAUAUCGUCAAGAACACCUAUAGCGAAGGCAGCUUACUAGGCUGUAACUGACGCUGAGGCACGAAAGUGUGGGGAUCAAACAGG